UCCCCUAUCACAAGCUGCUCUCAUAGCCACACUUAAACCCUCCAUUUCAAUGAUGAAGAGGAAUUGGGAGAGUGGGUCACCUUGUUUGACUCCUCUCUAGAUGGGGAAUUCGUCAGUGGGGUUCCCAUUAACAAGAACGGAUGAUUUUGAAGAGGCCAAGCAACCGUUGAUCCAACAUCUCCAUUUAUCUCCAAAUCCCAUGGCUUUCAUGUUUGAAUCUAGGAAUUCCCAAUUAAUCAAAUCAAAGGCUUUGUUGAAAUCGACUUUGAAGAGUAAAACAUUCUUUUUUUUUUUUCCUUUUUUGCCCAUGAACAAUUUCAUUAACCACCAAUGGACCAUCGAGUAUGUUUCGGCCCUCCACGUACGCAGAUUGUACCACGUCAAUACAACUUCCUAAUACCCUCUUGAGCUGAUGAACAAGUAUUUUUGCUAUGAUUUUGUAAAUAGAACCGAUUAGACUUAUCGGUCGGUAAUUUCUAAGAAUGAGAGGGUCUUUGAUUUUGGGGAUUAGAGAGAUGAAGGAGGAUUUGCAAGAAAUAUCAAGUUUUCCGUAUCUCUCGAAGUGUUUGGCCACCGCAACAAUGUCGCCAAAUACAACAUCCCAAUCUUUUUUUGAAAAACUUAAAUGAGAAUCCGUCUGGGCCAGGAGCUUUCUCGUUUCCACACGCCCAUACAGCAACUUUAAGUUCUUCCAAAGUGAUCGUGGCUUCCAACACAUCAUUGUCGAUAGGUAGAAUGCGUUUGAAUUGGCUGCUAACCAACUUGGGUCUAGAAAGCCACUUCUCCUUGAAUUUAUCUGUAAAAAAGUUGAAAGCUUCCGACUUUAUUAACACCGGAUCUGUACACCAAGUGUCGUUGAUCAUAAGGCCAUCAAUCCCAUUUUUCUGAUUAUUAUGAUUGACAUGACCAUGAAAAAAACGGGUGUUUUCAUCCCCGUCGACCGCCCACUUUACCCUUGAUAUUUGUUUGAUAUCAAGGACUCUGAAUUUCUCCAGCUCUGCAAUAGAUUUGAAACUGUCUCGCCUUGAGUCAAUUUCUUGUGGUGUAAGAAGUCUAGAUUCUGCCUCAUGAUCCAAAUGUGCCACAAUUUGUUUGUGUUUGGAAAGUUCCAACUCUUCUUUAGGAUGAUCUAAAGCUCUCCAUGCCUUCAGACCCUCUUUCACGUGUUUCAAUUUUGCAUUUAAAUGUUGAUCUGGUGUUCCAUACCCCUGAAAGUUGUCCCAAUCCGUGAUGAACGCCCUUUCAAAUCCAUCUCUGAGCAGCCAUGAGUUGAAAAGAGUGAACGGUGGAGGUCCAAAAUCAGACCUAACUGUGGAUAGCAGAAUCGGACAAUGGUCAGAUAGUUCACGGGGAAGAGCUGUGACAGUGGCGGUCGGGGCAAUGUCAAGAAAGCAUGGACUAAGAAGAAAAUGGUCAAGUUUACUGAGUUUAAGAUCUUCAUUUCUAAAACACGUGAAACGAGUUUAUUAAUCUUAUAUUUUGAAAUCAUUUAUGUAAUUUUCUUUUACAUAGCUUUAAUUUCUAACAUUUUUAUGAAAAAUCUAAGUUUCAUAUUAGGCAGAGCCUUUACAUAGAGAUUGUUUCUAUAAUAUUAGGGAACAUAGGACCAAUUAUGUAGUUUUCUUAUUAGACGGAGACCAUGUUUUUAAAAUUUUAAAACAUAAAUACCGUAUUUGUAAUUUUAGGAACUAUUUCUGUACUUUUGUAAAUACAUGGACCUUUUCUGUAAGUUUACUAUUAAACAGAGACCAUUUUUAUAAUCUAUAAAAUAUAAGGACCAACUUUGUAAUUUCCGUAUGAAAGCAGGGAUAGUUUAUGUAAACUUGACACAGGUGUGUAAAGUUACAUAAACAAUACUUGAUGGACUCAAAUUGUAACUCAUACAGAAACUAGAAAUUACCCUCCGUUGAACUCUUUCCCCAAGAAACACACACUAUUACACAUUGCUGGGAGGUUCAAAUUAGAACUCAGAAAACCAGUUUUUAUGAUUUUCUGUAUAAAUCCUUAGUGGGUAUUUCUUCAAUUAUUCUGGAAAAAACUGUUCUUUACUCGCAUUGAUCAUCGAUUCAUCGGGUCGAACUAUUAAUCAGCAACAUGGCAUACAUAACAAGCUCCACAGAAGUGUACUUGAUGCAGUUAAUUACGUAAACGCCCAUGGAAACCGGACGCCCAUUACGAAGAUUAUGUCGAGUUUAAAUCCAAAGACUGCUUAUUUUGGUCAUAAGCCUUGUGGUUGUUCUCAUAGUUCUAGCUCAAUUACUCGCGAUCCCAUAUAAGAACGACACAUCCAUUCUAUCACCUGUGUCACCAAGGGUAUUUUGGUCCACAAAGUGUCUAUUUACGAUAACGCCUCUAUUACACGCGAGGGAGUGGUUCUAAAUGAGUCGAAAAUAGAAGAAGGGUGCAAAGGGUAUGAUUGUAAUUCCGAAUCCUUAGUCUCAAAAAUUGUAGCCAAAGUAAAUGAUUUGGGUCAAAAUGUUACCAUUACUUCACAACCAACACGACUUUCUUACAUGAUUUCGGUUCUUGAAUCGGUUCGUUUCAAUGUACUCACUCAUUAUUAUGUUUUUGUUUUCCAAA
Lactuca sativa (garden lettuce) is the source of this 2580-nucleotide long non-coding RNA. RefSeq lists it as uncharacterized. The record is from RefSeq and is a predicted model, not a curated record. Lineage: Eukaryota; Viridiplantae; Streptophyta; Magnoliopsida; Asterales; Asteraceae.